ACAGCCCACCCAGGCCUGCUCCCCCUCCUACUAAGCCCAGGAGCAAACAGCCUCGGCCUAUAAGGUUCCUUAGCCUGCCAAAAGGCUGCCACCGGCUCAGACAAGAUGGCAGCCAAAGGGUCAAAUUAAGAACCAGGCCAGUUUGCAGCCCCUGUCCAACCCAGAGCAGGCCCUGACUAAGACCUUCAAGCUGCUCCACUCUGCCUCUGAUGACUGGGAGAAGAAGAUUGAGGGCUUGACCUUUCUCCGUGUGAUGGCUCAGAACCACAUGGACAUACUGAUGCCUAAACUCCAUGAUAUCUGCCUUGCCAUUAUAAA
Oncorhynchus nerka (sockeye salmon) is the source of this 318-nucleotide long non-coding RNA. RefSeq lists it as uncharacterized. NCBI's taxonomy places the organism in Eukaryota, Metazoa, Chordata, Actinopteri, Salmoniformes, Salmonidae. The record is from RefSeq and is a predicted model, not a curated record. The transcript has 3 exons.